Molecule: non-coding RNA, 157 nt
Filed under: Criibacterium bergeronii
Lineage: Bacteria; Bacillati; Bacillota; Clostridia; Peptostreptococcales; Filifactoraceae
Also listed under: 1 other name
Description: Lysine riboswitch aptamer
Rfam family: Lysine riboswitch aptamer
About the family: Riboswitches are metabolite binding domains within certain messenger RNAs that serve as precision sensors for their corresponding targets.
Source: Rfam by way of RNAcentral
AUAUGAGAUAGAGGUCGCGGUUUUUAUUAGUAGGGCUUUUUCUGAAAGGAACAACCGCCGAAAUGCUGUCUAUGGCGUUGGGACUAUGUUGAAUAAGCAUAGUACUGUCGAAAAAGAAAAAUUUAUGUCCUUUUCUUUUUUGAAGUGCUUCUCAUAU